Molecule: long non-coding RNA, 703 nt
Organism: Bubalus bubalis (water buffalo)
Lineage: Eukaryota; Metazoa; Chordata; Mammalia; Artiodactyla; Bovidae
Exons: 2
Source: RefSeq, a predicted model, not a curated record
AUACCCUGGAUCAGCUGGGGCUGGACCCCGGCAGGUGGCGCCCGAGACAGGAUAUUCCAAGACAGGCCAGGUUCGAGGCACGUGCUCGCUCGCCCCGCCCACCAGGCAGCUCUCGCCUCCGCGCCUCCAGCCUCGCCCUGCACCCUCCUCGCUGCACCCCACGACCUAGAGCAAAGAAGUUUGUGCAGCGAGUGAGGGCCAGAGAGGAGAGCGCACCCGCAAAGUGCCGUCCAGACCAGCGCGGCGCCCGCCAGCAGGGGAGACAAGAUAAACAUCGAGAUCCCAGCGAGACUGACAGGGCUGCUGCAGCGUGAACUCCAACCAAAAAAUAAUUCUAUUUAUUCUGUUUUAGCUUGUCUACCCUUGCCUUAUGUUUUCCUUUUUACUAAUGACUCCAACAAACUUAAUGUAUUCAUGAGUUAUUCAGGUGGACCUAACGUGGUAACUUGUGAACAAUGUAUGCUUUCAUCUUGUUUAAACCCUCAAUGUAAUGUUUGCUCCUUUGUGGUGUUACAUUGCCCAUCCUAUCUUAUGGUGCCUAUAUGAUAGCUAUGGUCUUGCUGUGUUACAACAACUGCAGGAUUUAAUGCGAUCGCGACGGUUUGUGGGCUUACUUAUUUUAGGAAUAUCAGCUUUAAUAGCAGCAAUUAGUUCUGUUACUGCGGCAGCAAUAUCAUUGACUCAACAAGUGCAUACUGCCCAA